This 253-nucleotide ribosomal RNA is filed under the name uncultured bacterium. Its description in RNAcentral is "partial 16S ribosomal RNA". It matches the Rfam family "Bacterial small subunit ribosomal RNA", at positions 524 to 776 of the family's 1533-position model. The record is from RNAcentral.
UACGGAGGGUGCAAGCGUUAUCCGGAAUCACUGGGUUUAAAGGGUGCGUAGGCGGCUAGAUAAGUCAGAGGUGAAAGUUUGUCGCUUAACGAUAGAACUGCCUUUGAUACUGUUGAGCUUGAAAGUAGGUGAGGUUGGCGGAAUGUGACAUGUAGCGGUGAAAUGCAUAGAUAUGUCAGAGAACACCGAUUGCGAAGGCAGCCGGCUAACCUGACGUUGACGAUGAGGCACGAAAGAGUGGGUAGCGAACAGG